RNAcentral lists this ribosomal RNA (505 nucleotides) under uncultured bacterium. Its description in RNAcentral is "bacterial SSU rRNA". It matches the Rfam family "Bacterial small subunit ribosomal RNA", at positions 28 to 526 of the family's 1533-position model. The record is from RNAcentral.
GAUGAACGCUAGCGGCAGGCUUAACACAUGCAAGUCGAGGGGUAACAGAGAGUGCUUGCACUCUGCUGACGACCGGCGCACGGGUGAGUAACGCGUAUGCAACCUACCUUUUACAGGGGAAUAGCCCAGAGAAAUUUGGAUUAAUACCCCAUAUUAUCUUUUUUUCGCAUGAAUUAAGGAUGAAAGUUUCGACGGUAAAAGAUGGGCAUGCGUCCUAUUAGUUUGUUGGUAAGGUAACGGCUUACCAAGACUUCGAUAGGUAGGGGCCCUGAGAGGGGGACCCCCCACACUGGUACUGAGACACGGACCAGACUCCUACGGGAGGCAGCAGUGAGGAAUAUUGGACAAUGGACGAAACUCUGAUCCAGCCAUGCCGCGUGCAGGAUGAAUGCCCUAUGGGUUGUAAACUGCUUUUAUAUAGGAAGAAAACCCUCCACGUGUGGAGGCUUGACGGUACUAUAAGAAUAAGGAUCGGCUAACUCCGUGCCAGCCGCCGCCGUAAGAC